GAAACCUUUACACUGCACGACAGUGCGAUAGGGGAUCCCAAGUGCACAGGCAUAGCGCCUGUGCUUUUCGGUACCGUAAGGUGGUACCAGAAUAAGGGCUGGGCAAGACCGGUGCCAGCCGCCGCGGUAAUACCGGCAGCCCAAGUGAUGGCCGAUCUUAUUGGGCCUAAAGCGUCCGUAGCUGGCCGCGCAAGUCCAUCGGGAAAUCCACCUGCUCAACAGGUGGGCGCCCGGUAGAAACUGCGUGGCUUGGGACCGGAAGGCGCGACGGGUACGUCCGGGGUAGGAGUGAAAUCCCGUAAUCCUGGACGGACCGCCGAUGGCGAAAGCACGUCGCGAGGACGGAUCCGACAGUGAGGGACGAAAGCCAGGGUCUCGAACCGGAUUAGAUACCCGGGUAGUCCUGGCCGUAAACAAUGUCUGUUAGGUGUGGCUCCCGCUACGAGCGGGUGCUGUGCCGUAGGGAAGCCGCUAANCAGACCGCCUGGGAAGUACGUCCGCAAGGAUGAAACUUAAAGGAAUUGGCGGGGGAGCACUACAACCGGAGGAGCCUGCGGUUUAAUUGGACUCAACGCCGGA
Molecule: ribosomal RNA, 579 nt
Filed under: Halorubrum distributum
Lineage: Archaea; Methanobacteriati; Methanobacteriota; Halobacteria; Halobacteriales; Haloferacaceae
Description: partial 16S ribosomal RNA
Rfam family: Archaeal small subunit ribosomal RNA
Source: RNAcentral